GUCGAGUUUGUCGUGUUGAAGCGUGUUCGGAGAUUUCAUAAAGCCUACAGUGGAUUUAUGUUAUAUUUUUUGCUGGAUUGAAUUCAAACUGACAGCUGCUGGAUGAAAACAUAAUUAGUAAGUUGUUCAUAAUCAUUAUUUGUGAUGACAGGCUGUCGAAGAUGCAGGCUAUCUGGCAUUUUUGAUUAAAUGGCCAAAAGUAGCGUUGUUUGUUGCUGCUUGUGUUGUUGACCGCCGUGUCUGUUUGCUUACUGUAGCAAUGGCAGGACACACAUUGCUUGCAUACUUGAAGCCUAAUUUGGUGUCCUGUUUGGUUGAUUGUGUGGCUGUAUGUGCAUCCAGCAUCAUUGAAUGUCAAACGCUGAAUGCCCACUAGUUUAAUCGAUAUCUGAAAUAGCCAAUCAGAAGUUGUAAUUCUAAAAUAUCAGCAGAUCGCCGUUUAAUGAUAAAUCCAUGGCACUGUCUAUGGUGGUGAAAUAGCACACAUCAUCCAUUCCGCCCUCCCAGCCUAUAGGUUCUCUAUACGGCUUUUAUAUUAGCACUACUCCCCCUCAGCUCCGCGCCUGAUGUCUAGGGAACAUUUUUUUAAAUUAGCAUUCAUAUGGAGCUGUGUUUGUGGGCAUCUAGCAAAUGGUACAUGAAUGGAGCAGCUGUAUUUUUCACAGGACUAAUAGGGCUGAUAUUUUACCUUGAACUGGGCUCUGACGCUGCGUUAUACCUACAUUGAUCUACAGUUGCCGUCCUUCAAGUGUGGUGCAGUCUUUUGGUGCGACCGGUACCCAAUCACAGUGCAGUCAAAGGGAAUGCUAAACAAGAUGACUGGUCAGGAGCGGGGACGUCUUCAGCAGGACAUUUUUCACUUCACAGGUUAUAGUAGUUCUGAUUUGUGUGCACCGUGAAAAAUACAGGUGUGUACUUAUAUACGCAUACACACACACACACACACACACACACACAAAAGAUGUAGAAUGCCAAAAUGUAACCAUGAAUAGUAAAAACGGACUAUGUAAAAGGUAGAGUAGGAGUUAGAGGGUGUGAUCUGUGUUCAUUGAACUGCAAUUAUAAUGUGUAAUUGUCAUUAUUCAAGCAUUUUUCACUUUUAAAGGGGCCACCAAUUUUACACACAAAGUUCAGUUUUAAUUGUCACAAAGAGUACUACACACCCUGUGAAAACUGUUGUAUACCUGUGGCUCUAGAGGAGAGCUUUCCAAAGUUCACAAAUCGAGCUUUUUGUAACAGGAGGCCUGCAUUACUGGGCUGAUUUGAUUUUGCCAAAUGUCUGUCUUCACUUGAUUUGAUGCUGUUGUCUUAAUCAGGGGGACUGAGCAGCAAAGCCACUCUGAUUUAG
Molecule: long non-coding RNA, 1348 nt
Filed under: Dicentrarchus labrax (European seabass)
Lineage: Eukaryota; Metazoa; Chordata; Actinopteri; Moronidae
Description: lncRNA (ENSDLAG00005032463.1)
Source: RNAcentral